This is an RNA transcript of Myotis lucifugus (little brown bat), 3712 nucleotides long. It is a transcript of the gene named CD84 molecule, with no coding region annotated. The record is from RefSeq and is a predicted model, not a curated record. The transcript is spliced from 9 exons. NCBI's taxonomy places the organism in Eukaryota, Metazoa, Chordata, Mammalia, Chiroptera, Vespertilionidae.
UUCCUCUUAAGACAAAAGGCCAUUUGGUUUGGGUGUAUGUGACCAAGGACUGGACUCUGCGUCUCCCUGGAAUGCUUCCCACCCCGGCCUCUCCUUAGGCACCUGAAGUCCGCACUCCCUUCCUGCACCAAAGCCUCAGCUAUAAAUAGCAAGAAAAUUCGAGUGAAACGCUGUCUGCUAGAAGAGUGCCUUUCUUUUCACAAUCAAUGAUCCUCUGAAGAUGGCGCAGCACUAUUUAUGGAUCUUGCUCCUUUGCCUACAAACCUGUCUGGAAGCAGCUGAAAGCAACACAAACAUGCUCACGGUGAAUGGGAUUCUGGGGGAAACAGUUACUUUCCCCUUAAAUAUCCAAAACAUACAGCAAAUUACCAACAUUAACUGGGUGAGUUCCAAAACAUCCGUUGCUGUUGUAGUGGCCCUCUCAGGCGCACCCCCCCACGUCAUUGUGACCCACCAAAACUAUAAACAACGAGUAAACGUCUCAAGUCAGAACUACAACUUGGAGAUCAGCAAUCUGAGGAUGGAAGAUGCAGCGAUCUACAGAGCUGACAUAAAUACAAAGAACUCUGAAAAGGAGACACUCACCAGGACCUACAAACUUCAAGUUUAUCGUAGGCUUGGGAAGCCGAAAAUUACCCACAGUUUAACGACAUCUUGGAACAGUACUUGUAACGUCACACUGACAUGCUCCAUGGAGAAAGAAGAAAAAAAUGUGAAGUACAGUUGGAGUCCCACGGGGACAGAGGGUAGUGUUCUCCAAGUCUUCCAGACUCCUAACAACCAAGAGCUGACUUACACCUGUACAGCCUGGAACCCCGUCAGCAACAAUUCGGACUCCAUCUCUGCCCAGCAGCUCUGUGCAGAUAGCCCCACGGGCCUCCGUAAUCAACGUGCUGGAUUGCUGAGUGGACUGGCUGUGCUCUUUCUGGUUAUAGUCAUCCUAUCUUCAGUGCUUCUGUUCCUUUUUUGCAAGAAAGGACGAGGUUCCUCCUUCAAGACCUUCCAUAAGAAACCUGAUGCUGCCUCAAAGAACACAAUAUACACAUAUGUCAAUGCUCCAAGAAAUCCUCAGCCAGAAGAGCUCAGAAUCUACGAUGAAAUCUCCCCGUCCAAGGUGGACAAAACCAUCAGCACUCAGGACAGCAAACCUCCUAGGACUCCAAGCUAUGUAUCUGUGAUCUAGGCUGCCAGACAGCAUUCUCUCUAUGGAAACUAAACCAUAACCACAGAUAAUGGCAGAUACCCUGGACCCAGACUUUCUCUGCCCAGCUCUUACCUGAAGACUGCAAAUCGCCACAUCCCAAUAUGAAAACCAGGAAGCUCUCUGCUGCUGGACAUAGCUUGUGCUUAGAUAGACAGAUGGACAUGUGCCCUUUCUGAAAUGGGUGCAUUGCCUUCUGGAUGAAUAAGGCAAGUCCCUUGGCACAGUGCUCUCCAAUCUUCUUUACAUCGCAGCACAUGUAGAAAAUAUUUUUAUGGCACAAGGAAGUAAACAAUCAAGAUUGCUCAUGUCUGGAGGCUCCCUGUGGCUAGAGGCCUCUUGUGAUUACAGGUGAUGACCUUUCCCAGCAACUCCAAACAUAGAGAGGACCCGUAUUGUGCACAUCUGUAAUAUGCCGUGGCACGCCACCUAAGAUGCUCUGCUGACACUCAAUAUGCGGGAGAAGCCCUGGUUCAUGGCUUGGGAAAAUUAGGCAAAGGCCCCUUUUUCCUUUAGGCAGAUGCAGCCCCUCACCCAAGUGCAUGGCUUGGGGAACUAAGUGCAACCCAACCAUCAAAACAAGAGACUUGAACGAAGCAAAGUCAUUCUCGAGCAGGAACUUGAGAGAUGAUGUUGCAGAUUAUGAAACGAGGCCCAACCCAGUUCCCAAGCUUCACCCGGAGAGUCAUAGAGUUCAGCUCAAGGUUAGGUGCUCCUCCCUCUCCCCUGCUACGUCUGAGCGGAACACUCAAGUGAGUAUUUGAAAAAUUGCUCCCCUUAUGAGCUAACAAAUAUAACCAGCUAAAUCCUAAAUGCCCACAAACAACCCCAGACUGAACGGCAACACUAAACUGCAUUUAGGCAGAAUGAGGCUGUUAGUCCUAGUGAAUGGACCCAUAAAACCCCCUGGCCCUCACUAUCUUUAGCACUUUGUUGGGGCUGCAAGGCCCCCAAAGAAUGAGAUGAGUGUAAUGUCUGCCCUGGGCUAACUGAGAAACCAAUUCCAGCACAGACACUACAGCUAAAUCCUGAACUACAUAUGACCUGGAGUGGCACCGGCUAGCACAGUCAGAAAGGACCUGAUGGGGAGGCGGAGCUGAAACUGGGCCUUGAAGGAUGAAUAGCAUUUGGCAGAGAGUGAAGAAGACAGAGGGCAUCCACAUGAGGAAACCAUAAACAAACAAACAAAACAGCCCUGGAUCUGCAUUAUGUAUGUUGGGCACCUCCCCAGACACACCAUGCAUGGUCACAGCCCCUUGCCUAUGUGUGGCACAGAGCCUCGGCGAGACUGUGUGCUCCACCCCUUCUCCCUCUACACAUUGUGUAAUACCCAGUCCUCUAUGAUUUCCUGAUAUGAUUAGUGAACUUAAUUAUGGCUCUUUUUGCACCCCUUUCUCUCCCCUGUUGGUCCUUCAGUCAUUAUAACUCAUUCCAUUCUGCCUCACAUAUGGACGAUUAUUUAUCUCCCUCUACAUUAUACAUCACUCAAGGACAAGAUCCAUGACUUCAUGAUCAUGAAGAGACGGACAUAAGAGGUGAUAGUUGUAUUCACUUCUGCAUCCACCACCAGGCAACAGUGCCUUGUACCUGCUUGUGAGCAAUAAAUACUGUUGAAGAGAAGGUACUUAUUGGAAGUGUUGAUAUAUAACAGCCAAUAAGCACAGUGGAAUCUAAUUAUGACAUAUAUUAAAUAUCAGGAUGCAAAUGGCAGAGGCUGUUUUGGAGGGAGAAGACUUUCAGAGUUAGGCCAACCAAGAGGGCAGCUGAAGCCAUGAACCAGGUGUGAGCAGUGAAAGGCAGUCACUCUAGGGAGGGACAUGAAGGAGGAAAUAAAGAGAUUUGGUGAUAAAGGAUGGAAAAAUUCCAACAUGACACUGAACACCAUGUUUCUCCUAAAAUUAAAGUACUUCUCAUCUUUACGUGAGUUGAGGGAUCCCUCUUGAAUAUCCUCAUUCUCUAAACUGCCCCUGCUUCUCCCUGGUGUGCUCACUCAUUCAAAUUCUUAAUGUCCUAAUGCCCCGGUGAAAAGUGAAGAAAGAGAUAGGGAAGGAGAGAGAAAGAGAGGGAAGGAGGGAGGAAGGGAGCGAGGGAGGGAAAAAAUCAGGCAAGCGUUUCUUAGGUCUUCCAGGAAAACAAACCUGAGGUGGAACCAGUGCACAGGAAUCCUGAAAGUGGCCUACUCUUUCUGUUCUGUGAAUAUUCUAAUUUAUUAGACUCUCCUGUAAAAUGAGUGUGUAAAUAUAUGCUAACAAAAGGAGACUUGACUUUGGGUGCUGAGUACAAUACAAUGUACAAAUGCUAUAUAAUAUAAUUUUACAAUUGAAAUCUAUAUAAUUUUAUUAACCAGCAAUAUCCCAAUAAAUUUAAUAAAAUUAAAGCAAAUAAAUAAGGAAAUAAAUAAAAGAGUGUGAUUUUAUUUACCCCUUCACAGCUUUCCAGAUGAACUAAAUUGUGACCGACAGGUCUAUAAAAUAAGAAUAUUCGCCCUGCCCUACCCGGUUUGGCUCAGUG